This 1123-nucleotide long non-coding RNA is filed under the name Monodelphis domestica (gray short-tailed opossum). RNAcentral's name for it is "lncRNA (ENSMODG00000048149.1)". Lineage: Eukaryota; Metazoa; Chordata; Mammalia; Didelphimorphia; Didelphidae. The record is from RNAcentral.
CCCACUUGGCGUAGGCUUCAUGACAUUCCCACAUGGGCAUUUGGGUUAUACCUCUGUAUAUGUUGUCUACCCUGAUAGAAUAUAAGUUUCUUAAUACAAGGGACUUUCAAUUUUGUCUUUGAAUCCCCAGUACUUAGAACAGUAUAUGGCACAUAGUUGCUCAACCCUAGAGUUACCUUAUCUAUAAAAUAAGACAGUUGGAUUUAAUGAUGUCUAGGAUUCCUUCCAAUUUUAGUCAAAGAAGUCGGCUGCUAUUUGUUCUUUUGUAGAUGACCAAUGGCAUUAUGGGGUGAUGUCUUGACUUGUGCAUGAAUUCAAUGUAAGUGAGGCAGAGUUGCACAAAGUCAUCAGCCUCACUCUUUCUUUGGGAAUCAUUGAAAUCCAGUGGCAAGACAAAAAUCACCACUGGUGGUGGCCCAGGAUGCAGUGGAUGACCUUGGUGUCUUCAGUGCCUGAUCAGGCUCUAAGAAUUCUGCAGGCUCUGCUUCAGCUGCCUUCAUGGCCACUGGAAAAAAUUGUUCUUAUUGGUCCAUUCUGCCAGGGGAAAUCUUCACAUGCUUGGCACAUAGUAAAGAAACAGAGGCUAAAAGGUUUAAGCAACUUGUCCACAGUCACAUAGCUAGUCAAAGAUGAUUCUUCUUGGCAGGGAAAACAAAACGAGAGUGAAGCAGCUCAACAGUAAAGUUCUUCCUCUGGAUGUGGAUAGUGCUCUUUCUCAUAAGUUCCUCAGAAUCGUCCUGGAUCAUUGCAUUCCUGCUAGUAGAGAAGUCCAUUACAUUCAAUCGUAUCACGGUGUAUCAGUCUCUGUGUACAAUGUUCUCCUGGUUCUGCUCCUUUCGCUCUGCAUCACUUCCUGAAGGUUGUUCCAGUCUCCAUGGAACUCCUCCACUUUAUUAUUCCUUUUAGCACAAUAGUAUUCCAUCACCAACAUAUUCCACAAUUUGUUCAGCCAUUCCCCAAUUGAUGGGCAUCCCCUCAUUUUCCAAUUUUUGGCCACCACAAAGAGAACAGCUAUGAAUAUGAUUCUACAAGUCUUUUUCCUUAUAAUCUCUUUAGGGUACAAACCCAGCAGUGCUAUGGCUGGAUCAAAGGACAGACAGUUUUUUAGCGCCUUUUGGGCUUA